Molecule: transfer RNA, 77 nt
Filed under: Moraxellaceae bacterium
Lineage: Bacteria; Pseudomonadati; Pseudomonadota; Gammaproteobacteria; Moraxellales; Moraxellaceae
Description: tRNA-Pro
Rfam family: tRNA
About the family: Transfer RNA (tRNA) molecules are approximately 80 nucleotides in length. Their secondary structure includes four short double-helical elements and three loops (D, anti-codon, and T loops). Further hydrogen bonds mediate the characteristic L-shaped molecular structure. tRNAs have two regions of fundamental functional importance: the anti-codon, which is responsible for specific mRNA codon recognition, and the 3' end, to which the tRNAs corresponding amino acid is attached (by aminoacyl-tRNA synthetases). tRNAs cope with the degeneracy of the genetic code in two manners: having more than one tRNA (with a specific anti-codon) for a particular amino acid; and 'wobble' base-pairing, i.e. permitting non-standard base-pairing at the 3rd anti-codon position.
Source: RNAcentral
CGGGGCGUAGCGCAGCCCGGUAGCGCGCCUGCUUUGGGAGCAGGAUGUCGUAGGUUCGAAUCCUACCGUCCCGACCA